ACGUCAAGUCAUCAUGGCCCUUAUGUCCAGGGCUACACACGUGCUACAAUGGGGGGCACAGAGGGAAGCCAAAUCGCGAGAUGGAGCGGAUCCCGAAAGCCCCUCCCAGUUCGGAUAGGAGUCUGCAACCCGACUCCUUGAAGCCGGAAUCGCUAGUAAUCGCGGAUCAGCAUGCCGCGGUGAAUACGUUCCCGGGCCUU
RNAcentral lists this ribosomal RNA (200 nucleotides) under uncultured prokaryote. RNAcentral's name for it is "partial 16S ribosomal RNA". It matches the Rfam family "Bacterial small subunit ribosomal RNA", at positions 1182 to 1382 of the family's 1533-position model. The record is from RNAcentral.